This is a non-coding RNA of Vicugna pacos (alpaca), 555 nucleotides long. The record is from RefSeq and is a predicted model, not a curated record. Lineage: Eukaryota; Metazoa; Chordata; Mammalia; Artiodactyla; Camelidae.
GUUUGAGGUUGCACUUUGCAAGAGUAUAACUUCUGAUGUGGAAAGUCUAACGCACAGAAUAUACAUUCAACUCGUUGUGUGAGGAGAAACGCAUUGCAGGAAGAGGUAGGCAAUCCAGCAGUGGCCUGACAAACCCAUGAAGUCAUCCAAGUCCCAGGUUACUCCUAUCUUGCUGCUUUGCCCUUCUAAACAUACAAUUUCCACCUGAAAGUUUGCUUCAUGGUUGCAAGAUGGCCACUGCAACUCUAGCCAUUGUGUCUGCAUUCCAAGCUGGAAGAAAGAGGAAAAGAGAAGAGGAAAGGGGCAGAAGAGCACUUUCCAGAAAUCGACAAGUUGGGUGUCAAGAGACAAUUCUCCACUGGAUAUUUCACAGUUCUGCAGUUAGGUCUUCUGAGCAAAGAACAUGUUUGAACAGCAAAGGCCUUGGAAGCUAGAGAUUUAGAGAUAUGUCUCCCUAAGUGACAUUUGCUUACAUUCCAAGGUGAUGUAUUUAGGGGCCUUUCCUUCCCUUCCUCAGAGAAGAUUUGUUUAUAAUCCUGAAUAAAGAUGCAUCCU